RNAcentral lists this unclassified non-coding RNA (301 nucleotides) under Glomus sp. Its description in RNAcentral is "partial contains 5.8S ribosomal RNA and internal transcribed spacer 2". The stretch from base 1 to 65 matches the Rfam family "5.8S ribosomal RNA", at positions 84 to 154 of the family's 154-position model. Lineage: Eukaryota; Fungi; Glomeromycota; Glomeromycetes; Glomerales; Glomeraceae. The record is from RNAcentral.
GUGAAUCAUCAAAUUUUUGAACGCAAAUUGCACUCUCUUCGGAGAGUAUGCCUGUUUGAGUGUCAGCCUAAAAAAAAUCGACAUAUUCGCUUUUUCGCGGUGACAUUCGUCGGAAAUUGGUUCAUCUUAAACCUUUUGUUUUUAAGCGGCUUAAAAUUUUCUUUACUAUUCCACUAACGUUUCUAAGAUUUACUUACACGUUUAAGUUAUCGAUCUUUAUUAAACGUUGCCGUUUCAUCUUAUCUCUUCCAUAAAUAUUUCUUUAACUGACCUCAUAUAGGUAAUAACAUCCGCUGAACUU